This 392-nucleotide ribosomal RNA is filed under the name Pilumnus vespertilio. Its description in RNAcentral is "partial 16S large subunit ribosomal RNA". It matches the Rfam family "Bacterial large subunit ribosomal RNA", at positions 1932 to 2597 of the family's 2925-position model. Lineage: Eukaryota; Metazoa; Arthropoda; Malacostraca; Decapoda; Pilumnidae. The record is from RNAcentral.
GUUAUAUAUACCUAGAAAGGUAGCAUAAUCAUUAGUUUUUUAAUUGAGAACUUGUAUGAAUGGUUGGACAAAGGAAAAGCUGUCUGUGUUUUAUAAAUAUUGAAUUUAACUUUUAAGUGAAAAGGCUUAAAUAAUUUAAAAAGACGAUAAGACCCUAUAAAACAUUUUAUUGGGGCGAUAAAGGUAUAAGUAUUAACUGCUUUAAAUAAAAACAAUAAUAUUUGAAAUGAUCCUUUUAUAAAGAAUGAAAGACUAAGUUACUUUAGGGAUAACAGCGUAAUUUCUUUUGAGAGCCCGUAUCGAAAAAGAAGAUUGCGACCUCGAUGUUGAAUUAAAAUGUCUAUUAUAGGGCAGCUCCUAAAUAAGAAGAUCUGUUCGAUCUUUAAAUUUUU